This 74-nucleotide transfer RNA is filed under the name Nelumbo nucifera (sacred lotus). It matches the Rfam family "tRNA". Rfam says of the family: Transfer RNA (tRNA) molecules are approximately 80 nucleotides in length. Their secondary structure includes four short double-helical elements and three loops (D, anti-codon, and T loops). Further hydrogen bonds mediate the characteristic L-shaped molecular structure. tRNAs have two regions of fundamental functional importance: the anti-codon, which is responsible for specific mRNA codon recognition, and the 3' end, to which the tRNAs corresponding amino acid is attached (by aminoacyl-tRNA synthetases). tRNAs cope with the degeneracy of the genetic code in two manners: having more than one tRNA (with a specific anti-codon) for a particular amino acid; and 'wobble' base-pairing, i.e. permitting non-standard base-pairing at the 3rd anti-codon position. The record is from Rfam by way of RNAcentral. Lineage: Eukaryota; Viridiplantae; Streptophyta; Magnoliopsida; Proteales; Nelumbonaceae.
GGCCUAUUAGCUCAGUUGGUUAGAGUGUUGUGCUAAUAACGCGAAGGUCACAGGUUCGACACCUACAUGGGCCA